UCAGGGUAUAAAGCUUAGUCUUUUGAUCGC
This 30-nucleotide non-coding RNA is filed under the name Mus musculus (house mouse). Lineage: Eukaryota; Metazoa; Chordata; Mammalia; Rodentia; Muridae. The record is from RNAcentral.